Long non-coding RNA from Engraulis encrasicolus (European anchovy), 1707 nucleotides. RefSeq lists it as uncharacterized. The record is from RefSeq and is a predicted model, not a curated record. Lineage: Eukaryota; Metazoa; Chordata; Actinopteri; Clupeiformes; Engraulidae. The transcript is spliced from 3 exons.
AGCGUAUGUGCGCUUCAUAGUCCACAGUUUAAAGAGGAUUGUCCAUGUUGUGUGCCCUACGGUGUACACCGCUUCCCCGGCCGUGCUGAGGAUGAAGACAUUCGCAAGAUGUGGAUUAAAAACGUACACCGAAAGGACUUUGCCCCCAAACAAGUAUUCAAGGGUGUGUGGAGUACACUUCCCUGACGGCAGACCAACGCAGGAACACCCAUAUCCCAUAAUAUGGGAUAUGAAUAUAGUAAAGCACCGUCAUGUGGAAGACCACCCCAAAGAGGAGAUGUCUCCAGCCCCCAACAGAGAGACCAUGUGAUGAGCCUCCUGUGACAGAUUCUGACACCGAAGUAGGGCAUAGCUUGGAGGAUAGUCUGUCUCCACACCAAUGUGAUGUUGGCACUCAGUGGCCAGAGCGUAGUGAUCAUGAUUGUUGUUCGAUGAAGUCAACAAAAGAUGCAAGCACACAAACCGAUCCUACACCAUCACUGUCAGAUCAUGACAUGGAUGAUAAAGUGUCAACUUUACACUGGACUAGACAUCAUCAGCUUUUGGCAACUUUUGAACACCAUCAUUGGCUUUCUUCCACAGUCGAAGACGUUCAAAUUACCAGUCCAUGAACAGCUAAGUGCUGGUCCUAAUGAGGCUUCGGCUUGGCUACAGCCUGUGAUAUGUCCGCAAUGUGGAGAGCAACACUUGCCAAUUUCACAAGGGAAAAUCUUAUUUUUUGGCUCCCUCGAGACACUCUGAAUAGAGUAAGACCCUCAAGUUUUCUUGAACACUAUCCCAAUGCAACAUGCAUCAUAGAUUGCACUGAAAUAUUUGUCCAAAGACCGAAGAACUUGGGGAAAAGAGCAAAAACAUACAGCAACUAUAAGCAUCACAACACCUACAAAGUCCUCUAUUGCAUAGCCCCCAAUGGUUUUGUGAUGUAUGUGUCAAAACUGUUUGGUGGCAGAGCUAGUGACACUUUUAUCUUAAACUGUGGAUUUCUGGUGAUCAGAUUUUGACAGACCGGGGAUUCACAAUUGGAGAUGUUCUUCCUCCAGGAGUGACAUUGGCUAUUCCAGCAUUUACACGUGGAUGUACACAACUAUCAGAACAUGAAGUCACAGGAACCCGCCGUCUCGCCAAUGUCCGAAUUCAUGUUGAACGUGCAAUAAGAAGGUUAAAAUGCUUCAAAAUUUUGAGUAAUGUAAUUCCAGGUUGAUUAAAACAUGUUGAUGACAUUUUGACUAUUUGUGCAGGCCUGUGUAACCUUCUUUAAAUCUUACAAACAUGUUUGGCAUACACUACACUUGUCCCUGUCUGUAGGCCUACAUGUCAGCAUCAUCUUCCAACUUGUCAGCGAUACUAUGCCCAAGAUAUUUUGUACUGCUUGACACACAGUGAUUGCCCUGACAGGUAAAACGUUGGAAAGACUUAAGAUCCUGAACAUAACACUUUUUUGCAUUGUACUGUAGGCCUACAUCAAACUCAACCCCAUACUCAGAGCACACAUUCAGAAGUUGCUGAAACUCAACAGCGCCGGGGGACAUGGGCCUAAUAGCCAGAUCAUCAAAUGGUUGAAAACAGUGCAUGUGUUUUAUUGUCUGUGUCUAAAUCUCGUCAUACAUCCAGUGCGUUUUGUUUUUUUUAACAGACGUGUUUUCACAAUGACACUCUGAGAAUUUACUUUUGAACAAAGUGUCUUGUGUAUAAAAUGGUGUGCAGACA